UGAACGCUGGCGGCGUGCUUAACACAUGCAAGUCGAACGAAGCACUUAUGACAGGAUCUUCGGAUGAUAGAUUAAGUGACUGAGUGGCGGACGGGUGAGUAACACGUGAGCAACCUGCCCCUCAGAGUGGAAUAACGUUUGGAAACGAACGCUAAUACCGCAUAACACCAUUGGAUGGCAUCAUCCGAUGGUCAAAGAUUUAUCGCUGAGGGAUGGGCUCGCGUCCGAUUAGGUAGUUGGUGAGAUAACAGCCCACCAAGCCGACGAUCGGUAGCCGGACUGAGAGGUUGAACGGCCACAUUGGGACUGAGACACGGCCCAGACUCCUACGGGAGGCAGCAGUGGGGAAUAUUGGGCAAUGGAGGAAACUCUGACGCAGUGACGCCGCGUAUAGGAAGAAGGUUUUCGGAUUGUAAACUAUUGUCUGCAGGGAAGAAACAAGACUGUACCUGCAAAGAAAGCUCCGGCUAACUACGUG
RNAcentral lists this ribosomal RNA (478 nucleotides) under uncultured bacterium. Its description in RNAcentral is "bacterial SSU rRNA". It matches the Rfam family "Bacterial small subunit ribosomal RNA", at positions 30 to 507 of the family's 1533-position model. The record is from RNAcentral.